CUCAGAUUGAACGCUGGCGGCAGGCCUAACACAUGCAAGUCGAACGGUAACAGGAAGCAGCUUGCUGCUUUGCUGACGAGUGGCGGACGGGUGAGUAAUGUCUGGGAAACUGCCUGAUGGAGGGGGAUAACUACUGGAAACGGUGGCUAAUACCGCAUAACGUCGCAAGACCAAAGAGGGGGACCUUCGGGCCUCUUGCCAUCAGAUGUGCCCAGAUGGGAUUAGCUAGUUGGUGAGGUAACGGCUCACCAAGGCGACGAUCCCUAGCUGGUCUGAGAGGAUGACCAGCCACACUGGAACUGAGACACGGUCCAGACUCCUACGGGAGGCAGCAGUGGGGAAUAUUGCACAAUGGGCGCAAGCCUGAUGCAGCCAUGCCGCGUGUAUGAAGAAGGCCUUCGGGUUGUAAAGUACUUUCAGCGGGGAGGAAGGUGUUGUGGUUAAUAACCACAGCAAUUGACGUUACCCGCAGAAGAAGCACCGGCUAACUCCGUGCCAGCAGCCGCGGUAAUACGGAGGGUGCAAGCGUUAAUCGGAAUUACUGGGCGUAAAGCGCACGCAGGCGGUCUGUCAAGUCGGAUGUGAAAUCCCCGGGCUCAACCUGGGAACUGCAUUCGAAACUGGCAGGCUUGAGUCUUGUAGAGGGGGGUAGAAUUCCAGGUGUAGCGGUGAAAUGCGUAGAGAUCUGGAGGAAUACCGGUGGCGAAGGCGGCCCCCUGGACAAAGACUGACGCUCAGGUGCGAAAGCGUGGGGAGCAAACAGGAUUAGAUACCCUGGUAGUCCACGCCGUAAACGAUGUCUACUUGGAGGUUGUGCCCUUGAGGCGUGGCUUCCGGAGCUAACGCGUUAAGUAGACCGCCUGGGGAGUACGGCCGCAAGGUUAAAACUCAAAUGAAUUGACGGGGGCCCGCACAAGCGGUGGAGCAUGUGGUUUAAUUCGAUGCAACGCGAAGAACCUUACCUGGUCUUGACAUCCACGGAAGUUUUCAGAGAUGAGAAUGUGCCUUCGGGAACCGUGAGACAGGUGCUGCAUGGCUGUCGUCAGCUCGUGUUGUGAAAUGUUGGGUUAAGUCCCGCAACGAGCGCAACCCUUAUCCUUUGUUGCCAGCGGUCCGGCCGGGAACUCAAAGGAGACUGCCAGUGAUAAACUGGAGGAAGGUGGGGAUGACGUCAAGUCAUCAUGGCCCUUACGACCAGGGCUACACACGUGCUACAAUGGCGCAUACAAAGAGAAGCGACCUCGCGAGAGCAAGCGGACCUCAUAAAGUGCGUCGUAGUCCGGAUUGGAGUCUGCAACUCGACUCCAUGAAGUCGGAAUCGCUAGUAAUCGUGGAUCAGAAUGCCACGGUGAAUACGUUCCCGGGCCUUGUACACACCGCCCGUCACACCAUGGGAGUGGGUUGCAAAAGAAGUAGGUAGCUUAACCUUCGGGAGGGCGCUUACCACUUUGUGAUUCAUGACUGGGGUGAAGUCGUAACAAGGUAACCGUAGGGGAACCUGC
Molecule: ribosomal RNA, 1502 nt
Filed under: Salmonella enterica subsp. enterica serovar Brunei
Lineage: Bacteria; Pseudomonadati; Pseudomonadota; Gammaproteobacteria; Enterobacterales; Enterobacteriaceae
Description: bacterial SSU rRNA
Rfam family: Bacterial small subunit ribosomal RNA
Source: RNAcentral